This 148-nucleotide signal recognition particle RNA is filed under the name Nomascus leucogenys (northern white-cheeked gibbon). Its description in RNAcentral is "Metazoan signal recognition particle RNA". It matches the Rfam family "Metazoan signal recognition particle RNA". From Rfam's summary of the family: The signal recognition particle (SRP) is a universally conserved ribonucleoprotein. It is involved in the co-translational targeting of proteins to membranes. The eukaryotic SRP consists of a 300-nucleotide 7S RNA and six proteins: SRPs 72, 68, 54, 19, 14, and 9. Lineage: Eukaryota; Metazoa; Chordata; Mammalia; Primates; Hylobatidae. The record is from Rfam by way of RNAcentral.
GCCAGGUGUGGUGGCGCACACCUGUAAUCCCAGCUAUUUGGGAGGCUGAGGUGGGAGGAUUGCUUGAGCCUGGGAGGUGGAGGUUGCAGUGAGCCGAGAUCAGGCCACUGCACUCCAGCCUGGGCGACAGAGCGAAACUCCAUCUCAA